UGUAAAAAUGUGGAUUUAAAAAAAUGUAAAUCUGCAAACAUGUAAAAAUGUAAAUAUUUGAAUAUGUAGAACUAUGUUAUGUUGUGUGUGGUGAAGACUAGAGGUUUCUUUCUUUUGUAUAGAUAAUGUUUUGGAAGCUUUAGUUUGUGUAGAUAGUUGGUGUGUGUAUAGCUGUUCUGUAUACACAUAUGUGUGUAUAUACUUGUAUAUAAUGUCUUUGUGCAAUGUGUAUAUAGGCCCCCCUUUCUUUUCCCUCUUCAGUUUAGUUCUAGCACACACACACCAAAUGCGCAUGCACCACCAAUGACGUGUCAGUGGUCUGGUGCCAACAUGUGACUGGUGCCUGUGCAGCCUCCAGCAAAGAUCUGUGGACCUUCCAGUCUGAGGCUGAUUUUCCUUGUAGGCACAUCACAUACACGAAGAGAGGAGCAGAAAAAACCUCAAGAUUCUCUCUUUGAAAAAGAUUCUCAAAAAGUCUGGUGUUGUUGUUUUUUACCUUAAGAGGACUGGACUUUGCUCAUUUUGCCAGAGAGGAGAAAUCUCAAGAAUGGACUUAUGCCCAUGGGACUUCUGGGAACAAGAAGAUCUCCACUUCCUCUUUUCUUGGGGCUACCUCAAAAGUACAAGGAGAAUCAAGCAUCAGGAACAUAACCCUAAGGCUUAAAAAUUGAUCCUUUGCUUUGUUUAUCCCCCCCCCAGCGGAAGCAUUACAAAGAAAUGACAGUGAACUUUCCACGAGGUUUCUG
Molecule: long non-coding RNA, 746 nt
Organism: Hemicordylus capensis (graceful crag lizard)
Lineage: Eukaryota; Metazoa; Chordata; Lepidosauria; Squamata; Cordylidae
Exons: 3
Source: RefSeq, a predicted model, not a curated record